This 75-nucleotide transfer RNA is filed under the name Mycobacterium sp. GA-0227b. RNAcentral's name for it is "tRNA-Thr". It matches the Rfam family "tRNA". From Rfam's summary of the family: Transfer RNA (tRNA) molecules are approximately 80 nucleotides in length. Their secondary structure includes four short double-helical elements and three loops (D, anti-codon, and T loops). Lineage: Bacteria; Bacillati; Actinomycetota; Actinomycetes; Mycobacteriales; Mycobacteriaceae. RNAcentral also lists the same sequence under 2 other names. The record is from RNAcentral.
GCCUCCUUAGCUCAGUGGUAGAGCAACGCACUUGUAAUGCGUAGGUCGUCAGUUCAAUCCUGACAGGGGGCUCAA